CCUACGGGUGGCAGCAGUGAGGAAUAUUGGUCAAUGGACGAGAGUCUGAACCAGCCAAGUAGCGUGAAGGAUGACUGCCCUAUGGGUUGUAAACUUCUUUUAUAUGGGAAUAAAAUGUUCCACGUGUGGGAUUUUGUAUGUACCAUAUGAAUAAAGAUCGGCUAACUCCGUGCCAGCAGCCGCGGUAAUACGGAGGAUCCGAGCGUUAUCCGGAUUUAUUGGGUUUAAAGGGAGCGUAGGUGGAUUGUUAAGUCAGUUGUGAAAGUUUGCGGCUCAACCGUAAAAUUGCAGUUGAAACUGGCAGUCUUGAGUACAGUAGAGGUGGGCGGAAUUCGUGGUGUAGCGGUGAAAUGCUUAGAUAUCACGAAGAACACCGAUUGCGAAGGCAGUUCACUGGACUGCAACUGACACUGAGGCUCGAAAGUGUGGGUAUCAAACAGGAUUAGAUACCCGUGUAGUC
RNAcentral lists this ribosomal RNA (460 nucleotides) under uncultured bacterium. RNAcentral's name for it is "partial 16S ribosomal RNA". It matches the Rfam family "Bacterial small subunit ribosomal RNA", at positions 338 to 795 of the family's 1533-position model. The record is from RNAcentral.